GUGUUCUGUUGGACAUCAGCACAUUCACAGAACUCCCAACAUCAGACAAAGCAAUGGCGAGCAUGGAAGAUCAAGACAAAAAAGGAGCACCUCCUGAUCAAAUCUGGAACCCGGCAAAACCACGAGCAUCCCCCGGAAGUGACCAAACCUGCCACUGUUGGCGGCCAUGUGACUCUUACUAAAAACUAUAACCUUAGGCUUGCUUCACCCUGCUGCUUUUUAGAGAAGAUAUAUAAAAAUACUCCAUAAGCCCUUGUAUUGUGUUAAAUACAUUUCAAUGUUUUGUUAACUUCAUUUGAGUCAUCCCAGGAUCUCUCCGCUUUGUGAAUAUAAAGUGGACAGUUGGGAACAAUUACUUAAUAGUUUCUUUUUUUCCCCUCCUAGGUUUUGGUUCAGAAUUUCUUCUAUCUCUAGUGUCCGUCAAGAUUGCAAGGUCUCUUGGAUCAGUAGAUGUCACUGGACUAAAGAGAAACACGUUUACCCUCGGCACUGUCUCCAGGGCUCAACACAUUUCUCCAGACUUCCGGGAUGUUUUAAAAAGUCCUUUUUUCCCCUGCUAUCUGCAAAGCCUUAUGUGCUAAGUGUGACUCCUGACCUACUAGUAAGCUGAGAGUCUGCAAGACCGGGAGCCUCGUGUCACUGAGCAGGGGAUGAGGGCGAGGAUUUAAAUGGGACAUCAAGGUGCGUCUUCAUUUUAAAAACGAAGGAUUAGUAAAAAUCUGAGUCAAGAAUUGCCACACACGUAGAACUAAGGUAGGAGAAAGAGGACUCUGCUGUGCUCGAUCUGAAAGGAUCUUUACCUACUGCAUGUGACCGUUUUAUCAGACGGGAUGGGACUGUCGCUAAAGUAAGGUCAGUGAUGAGCGUUGCCCUGGAGGUUGCUGCCCCACAAGUGGGCCCUGGGCCGUCAGCCGGACGUGCUCUCGGCCAUCAGAACCAUCCCUAGAAUGGCAAUCACCACCACCACUAACAACAGUGCAGAAAGCCAGCUCUUUAUUUGUUUUAUAUGAAUGACUUCCAACCAGAUUUCUGGAACAGUUCAGUGUAGCUGACAGUGAAUGUGUAACAGGAGUGCAUAGCAGACCAUGUUAAAAAAUGUGGCGUUGUCCCCAAGUACAGUAUGACUAAGACAUCCUACAUUUAGCAGCACCUUUUUGUAACAGUAACUUAAAUGAGCAGUAGAGAAAGAGCAUAGGAGAAACUGAAAUGGGUCUGACGAUAAAACACAAACUAUUCAGGACAUUUCCAGCAUUUGCUAGGUUGACUACAAAGAUCAGGAUUCUACAACAGAAUAGGUUAAGAUUAAGCCUUUGCUGAGGGAAAAGACUAAUUUUACAUUCCACAAGUCAGUAAAUCUCCCCUUGCCCUUGGGAUUAUUUCCUCAUUUACAGAUAGAACACACUGUUUACACAUAUGUCUGCCAUACGAUUUUCACAUAUAGAUGCUCAUGUCAAAUUCUGCGAGAUUGUGUUUUGAGGAAUACUCUGAUUUGGACUAAUAUGUUUGACAGUAAAGUGAAAAAUUAAGAAUCCAGAUAUAAGAUUUUAAAACUUGAAUCUUUUGGCAUGACUCUUUGAAAGGGAUUAGUGGUAGCAGCAAGUCAGAUAAAUACCAGUUAUACUUUGAGAAUCUAUAUAUUCCAUAGCCAUUAAUUGGGAUGAAAAUUUCAGAAAUAUUUUAAACAAGUAACUUUAACUGGAAUAUGGUGUCCCAACGGUACGAGUAUUUUACAUCAGAAAUGUAUGUUUUUAUCUUCAGUAAACAAAGUUGUCAACAGUACAGAACUAAUUAACAAAAAGAUUAAUUGUGAGGAAAAUGUUUCUUACAUUGGCUGAUGAAACCCUUUAACUGUAACUCGUCUGUAAAACUGAGUUUUUUUGUGGAGGGAGGGAAAUAAGGAGUUAAAUGUGAAACAACUGUACAUAUAAAGGUCCACGAAUAUUUGGCAAGAACCUGGAAUAGUCAAAAAUAGAUUAACCAAUUUAACAAAAUAAUCAUUGUAUGAUGCGUAGAGCUGAAAUUAGGGCAGAAGAGAUUGGCAUUUUCCAGGGACAAACUUGGGGCGCUCGGUGCUUGUGCACCUAAUACUGUCUUACCUGUCCAGUCAUAACUGGACGAAACGGACACAUAAGUGACACAGAAAAGGUUUUAGCCUUAGCGUGGCCACACACUGUGAGCUGCUGACAGUGCUGUCACUGAGGGGUGGGGGAUGGGAUCUUCUGGGCUCCCCUUCAGAGUAGGCGUCUAACGUAGGAAGACACUCUUCACGUCUUGUUCACUUCCGGUCCCCUCAUUUUGCCCUGAUUACAUCUGAAGAGCAGAAACUUUGGUUAUAAGAAGCACUUCUAGGCUGGACGGACAGUGGACGUGUCGGAGCUGGUGGCAGGGAAUGGAACGGAGGGUCCAUUUGAGGGAGAGAAACGACAGGAACGAUAGGCAAGGUUUAGAAGAGGAAGGGGGAGAAGUUAGAAAAAUUUAUUGUCCCACGAAAUAAUUCUACAAGCUGUGUAAACAUUUCUUACUAAAACAAAUACUCAAGCACACAACGAUUGUACAUUUCCAGUGAAACACUCACAGUUAAAAGUUGCUUGUACUCUUGCUCUAGAAGCAAA
RNAcentral lists this long non-coding RNA (2612 nucleotides) under Suricata suricatta (meerkat). RNAcentral describes it as "lncRNA (ENSSSUG00005018891.1)". The record is from RNAcentral. Lineage: Eukaryota; Metazoa; Chordata; Mammalia; Carnivora; Herpestidae.